CCUACGGGAGGCAGCAGUGGGGAAUAUUGCACAAUGGGGGAAACCCUGAUGCAGCGACGCCGCGUGAGUGAAGAAGUAUUUCGGUAUGUAAAGCUCUAUCAGCAGGGAAGAAACCCACCCUCCGGGGUGGCUGACGGUACCUGACUAAGAAGCCCCGGCUACCUACGUGCCAGCAGCCGCGGUAAUACGUAGGGGGCAAGCGUUAUCCGGAUGUACUGGGUGUAAAGGGAGCGUAGGUGGCAAGGCAAGUCAGAUGUGAAAACCCGGGGCCCAACCCCGGGAGUGCAUUUGAACCUGUCUGGCUAGAGUGCAGGAGAGGUAAGUGGAAGUCCUAGUGUAGCGGUGAAAUGCAUAGACAUUAGGAGGAACACCAGUGGCGAAGGCGGCUUACUGGACUGUAACUGACACUGAGGCUCGAAAGCGUGGGGAGCAAACAGGAUAGAUACCCGUGUAGUC
RNAcentral lists this ribosomal RNA (456 nucleotides) under uncultured bacterium. RNAcentral's name for it is "partial 16S ribosomal RNA". It matches the Rfam family "Bacterial small subunit ribosomal RNA", at positions 338 to 795 of the family's 1533-position model. The record is from RNAcentral.